This 56-nucleotide transfer RNA is filed under the name Klebsiella pneumoniae. RNAcentral describes it as "tRNA-Asn". It matches the Rfam family "tRNA", at positions 8 to 61 of the family's 71-position model. Rfam says of the family: Transfer RNA (tRNA) molecules are approximately 80 nucleotides in length. Their secondary structure includes four short double-helical elements and three loops (D, anti-codon, and T loops). Further hydrogen bonds mediate the characteristic L-shaped molecular structure. tRNAs have two regions of fundamental functional importance: the anti-codon, which is responsible for specific mRNA codon recognition, and the 3' end, to which the tRNAs corresponding amino acid is attached (by aminoacyl-tRNA synthetases). tRNAs cope with the degeneracy of the genetic code in two manners: having more than one tRNA (with a specific anti-codon) for a particular amino acid; and 'wobble' base-pairing, i.e. permitting non-standard base-pairing at the 3rd anti-codon position. RNAcentral also lists the same sequence under 13 other names. Lineage: Bacteria; Pseudomonadati; Pseudomonadota; Gammaproteobacteria; Enterobacterales; Enterobacteriaceae. The record is from RNAcentral.
UAGUUCAGUCGGUAGAACGGCGGACUGUUAAUCCGUAUGUCACUGGUUCGAGUCCA